CGCGUAUCGUGCUGAGGGUCCCGUAAGAAUAAGGCAUUGGCUAACUCCGUGCCAGCAGCCGCGGUAAUACGGAGGAUGCGAGCGUUAUCCGGAUUCAUUGGGUUUAAAGGGUGCGCAGGCGGACUGAUAAGUCAGUGGUGAAAGCCUACAGCUUAACUGUAGAACUGCCAUUGAUACUGUCAAUCUUGAGUGUUGUUGAGGUAGGCGGAAUGUGUCAUGUAGCGGUGAAAUGCUUAGAUAUGACACAGAACACCGAUCGCGAAGGCAGCUUACCAAGCAACAACUGACGCUCAUGCACGAAAGCGUGGGGAUCAAACAGGAUUAGAUACCCUGGUAGUCCACGCCGUAAACGAUGAUCACUCGAUGUUGGCGAUACACAGUCAGCGUCUUAGGGAAACUAUUAAGUGAUCCACCUGGGGAGUACGGUCGCAAGAUUGAAACUCAAAGGAAUUGACGGGGGCCCGCACAAGCGGAGGAGCAUGUGGUUUAAUUCGAUGAUACGCGAGGAACCUUACCUGGGCUCGAACGUAGUAUGACAGUCGCGGAAACGUGAUGUUCUUCGGACAUACUACGAGGUGCUGCAUGGUUGUCGUCAGCUCGUGCCGUGAGGUGUCGGGUUAAGUCCCAUAACGAGCGCAACCCCUAUCUUUAGUUGCCAUCAGGUCAAGCUGGGGACUCUAAAGAAACUGCCUACGCAAGUAGUGAGGAAGGUGGGGAUGACGUCAAGUAAUCG
Molecule: ribosomal RNA, 733 nt
Filed under: uncultured bacterium
Lineage: Bacteria
Description: bacterial SSU rRNA
Rfam family: Bacterial small subunit ribosomal RNA
Source: RNAcentral